GACGAACGCUGGCGGCGUGCUUAACACAUGCAAGUCGAACGGAAAGGCCUUUUCGGAGGUACUCGAGUGGCGAACGGGUGAGUAACACGUGGGUGAUCUGCCCUGCACUCUGGGAUAAGCCUGGGAAACUGGGUCUAAUACCGGAUAGGACCGCACUUCAGCGUGUGCGGUGGAAAGUUUUUGCGGGGGAGGAUGAGCCCGCGGCCGUUCAGCUUGCUGGUGGGGUACUGGCCCACCAAGGCGGCGGCGGGCAGCCGGACGGAGAGGUUGGUCGGCCACGUUGGGACUGGGAUACGGCCCGGACGCCGACGGGAGGCAGCAGGGGGGAAUAUUGCACAAUGGGGGCAAGCCUGAUGCAGGGACGCCGCGUGGGGGAUGACGGGCUUCGGGUUGUAAACUCCGUUCGCCAGGGACGAAGCGUUUUGUGACGGUACCUGGAGAAGAAGCACCGGCUAACUACGUG
This 463-nucleotide ribosomal RNA is filed under the name uncultured bacterium. RNAcentral describes it as "partial 16S ribosomal RNA". It matches the Rfam family "Bacterial small subunit ribosomal RNA", at positions 28 to 507 of the family's 1533-position model. The record is from RNAcentral.